RNAcentral lists this transfer RNA (73 nucleotides) under Marmota monax (woodchuck). RNAcentral's name for it is "tRNA.Ala". It matches the Rfam family "tRNA". From Rfam's summary of the family: Transfer RNA (tRNA) molecules are approximately 80 nucleotides in length. Their secondary structure includes four short double-helical elements and three loops (D, anti-codon, and T loops). Lineage: Eukaryota; Metazoa; Chordata; Mammalia; Rodentia; Sciuridae. The record is from RNAcentral.
UGGAGAUGUUGCUCAGUGGUAGAGCACUUGCCUAGCAUGCAUAAGGCCCUGGGUUUCAUCCCCAGCACUACAA